GUCCUUCAGAAUCUUCCUCAUCGAGAGUCAGUUCAAACUGAAACUUCUCCAUCAGACCCUGGCAGUCCCUGUUCUGCUCGUCCAGUGGUGGUGAGGGACUUUGAGGUAUCAUGCUCUGAUACCAGUUCCUGUUAUCUUCUAAGGUAUCGAGAAUGUCCUGAGCAUCAGGCUGUACCAAAUCUGCCCAGGUCUCCCACAAUGGAUGGACAAUGUAGUCGAUGAAACCAACCUGGAGAAAAAUAAGAUGACACAUCUGUUAUUGUGAUGGUGCUUGAAAAGUAAACAAGGUGUCCUGGUUUCCAUGCAAAGAAAGAACAUUAAUAACUUCUGAAAGAUCAAUCAUAAUGGAUUCCAUGAUUUGGGCACUCACAAUACAGUGGGUCUUACACUGAAUGCAGUCGAUGUAUUCUCUCUUAAUCCUGGAAGAUAAGAAGUCUGGAUGGAAUCCUCAUGAUUCCAGGGACCCAAAGACAAAGAAUGACUUUGCCACUACUUGGAUUCUGUGAGUCAUUUUCUGAAGAAGAAAUUGCAAUAUCUGGAAACCUAAGCUGCAGCUUCCAGCCUGCCUUUUAUAUAGAAGAAUCACAGGCAUCUUUUGUUAGACAGAAGUCUGCUUGAGAAUAUGGUCAUCAGACUUAUGAAACCACAUUUUCUCUUAAUCAAGAAUACCAGACAAGUGGUGGUAAUGUGUUACUUAAUUACAGGUUCUGUUACACAUAUAUCAUUGCUUUAACAGUGUGCUCUUAGUUACAACCUCCAAUGAGUACUCUUGUUUUGUUCAUCCUGUGAUCAAGGCCACAGAUCUACAAGCAGGCUUUAUAUGUUGCAGUGCUAUAGGUGACUGUGGUAGAUAGACCAUUUUUCUGUGUGAGGCUAACUGGCCUAUAUAUGAUUCAUGACACCACAUUCUACCAACUGAUAUAAUCCAUGCAGACAUGUAGCUGCCCCAACAUUUUGUUUGUUCAACAGAAGAAUGAAGUAAAAGGACCCAGUGUACUCCAAACCUAGGUCAUUCAGAUAUUCUUCGGAUAAAGGUCAAGGACUGAUGAUCAGGACUCUUUUACAGCAAGUAGCUCAAAAAGCACUUCUAGAAAACUGUCAGUACUUGAUGUUAUUCAUGACUACAAUAACCAAUAUUCUCAAAGUACUUAGAUUUCCAGCACUUAGCAUUAUUUGAGAAAAUGAAUGGAUUUUCAAAGGUAUGAAAACUAAACAUUUUAAGCAUGACAAAAGCUUUGAGUAUGGCUUGGAAUCCUAAGGCUAGACCACCCCUGGUCACUCAGGUCAUUGCUACUCCCAAUCCAUAAUCAAAUCUAUGCAGUUGGAAGAAAAUGUAUGGAACUUUUAAUGACCCUUCCUUCUGAACUGUGGAAACUCAUUCCAGUGCUUUUUAUGGCAUCUUAUUUUUACUUGGAGGUUCCCAUGUGCAGAUUCAACAUUUGUGGCUGCUUCCCAAGCAGAUAGGGACAGCAGUGAGUUACUAUGCUCUGUGCGAGAGUUUUGCAUAAUAUAAAAAGUCAUUAUCAUGGGAUCCCCAAACCUUUUAUUGUUCUUUAUGAAUAAUUCCAUAUCUAUUAUUCUUUCCUUACAUAUUGUAUUUGCCAAACUUUGAGUACUUUUUAUGGCUCCCCUAUGACCCUCUCCAAGUUCUCCAUGCAGCUCAAACAUUGUGUUGCCAGACUGGACUGAGUAUCCACGAAAGGCCUGACCAGUUUGAGAGAAAUGGAAGGAUUGCCUCAUUAUUAUCCUUGUGAUUAUCCAUAAUGAAAACAUUAGGAGGAAAAAAAUUAAGCAGUGAAUCAUACAAUUAUCUGGAAUGACUGCUGUAGUGGUGAACUCACUUGUGUUGAUGAGAAACUGAUUGGAGACUCCAGGAUGAUCAACGUCAUGGAUGGCAGCUGCAAAAAUGGCAGCCAGGAUUUCCAAAUCUGUGAAGACAGCCUGUCGGGCAAAUAAACACAUUUAACUCCACAUCCAAUUUGCCUAUCCUGCUUAUUCAGUUUCAUUUGUAAAGUAUCCUACUUUAUUCUUGUUGGGAGAGGGAUUGUUGAUUUAUGUAAUAUCUCAAUAUACUAAUUUAAGUAAAUGUAGAUUCUGUUCAUCAUCAUAAAGUCUCUGAUGUGAAAGGGAUGAUGGCCAGAGCUCAAUCUCACAUCAAGCCUAAAGGCUGAUGCUUGGAAAGAUAUUAGCACAAAUCUCAUGGAGUGUGUAAACGUCUAAUGUUUGUUUCUUGGACCAGUGAUGUGGCAGCAUGGUGCUUAUGUAACACAAGCAGAUACAAGUCAAAGAAGCAAGUCAGACUGGCUUUGCUCUGAGACAUAACAACCUUCAUAUACUCUUAGCUGAAUAACUUAGAGAAAAAUGGCCAAACUCCCGAUUCAUAAGAUAAGCAAUAAAUUAUUUCCCAAAGCUAAA
This is a long non-coding RNA of Gorilla gorilla gorilla (western lowland gorilla), 2415 nucleotides long. RefSeq lists it as uncharacterized. NCBI's taxonomy places the organism in Eukaryota, Metazoa, Chordata, Mammalia, Primates, Hominidae. The record is from RefSeq and is a predicted model, not a curated record. The transcript has 3 exons.